GACGAACGCUGGCGGCGUGCUUAACACAUGCAAGUCGAACGGAAAGGCCCUGCUUGCAGGGUACUCGAGUGGCGAACGGGUGAGUAACACGUGGGUGAUCUGCCCUGCACUUCGGGAUAAGCCUGGGAAACUGGGUCUAAUACCGGAUAGGAGCCAUUUUUAGUGUGAUGGUUGGAAAGUUUUUUCGGUGUAGGAUGAGCUCGCGGCCUAUCAGCUUGUUGGUGGGGUAAUGGCCUACCAAGGCGGCGACGGGUAGCCGGCCUGGGAGGGUGGACGGCCACAUUGGGACUGAGAUAAGGCCCAGACUCCUACGGGAGGCAGCAGUGGGGAAUAUUGCAAAAUGGGCGCAAGCCUGAUGCAGCGACGCCGCGUGGGGGAUGACGGCCUUCGGGUUGUAAACUCCUUUCGCUAGGGACGAAGCUUUUUGUGACGGUACCUAGAUAAGAAGCACCGGCUAACUACGUG
Molecule: ribosomal RNA, 465 nt
Filed under: uncultured bacterium
Lineage: Bacteria
Description: partial 16S ribosomal RNA
Rfam family: Bacterial small subunit ribosomal RNA
Source: RNAcentral